This 1140-nucleotide long non-coding RNA is filed under the name Eutrema salsugineum. Its description in RNAcentral is "long non-coding RNA (ESAL_LNC000822)". The record is from RNAcentral. Lineage: Eukaryota; Viridiplantae; Streptophyta; Magnoliopsida; Brassicales; Brassicaceae.
GUCAGUGAUAGGGCUCGUAGCAGCUGGUUUAGCCGGUGGUUCGUUCGUUAAGUCUGUCUUCGCCGAAGCUCUUUCGAUUAAAGUGGGCCCUCCUCCACCUCUUUCCGGUGGUCUCCGUAAGUAAAACUGAUCCAAUUAAAUUUCACAUUAUGGACUAAUCUGUAUUUCCUUAUCUUCUUUGUUUGGUUUAAUCAAAUAAUUAAUUGCUCGUGUUCAAUCCUACCGUUCGGUGCUACAUUAGUUUAGGUUAUUGGUUAAGACGAAAUAAAACCAUUCUAACCAAAUAAAAGUCCGGUUCAGUCGCGGUCUUGUUUGAAUCGAUUUGGUUUUUUCGAUCCGAAUAACCUUAAACGUAGAUCUACUUGGUUUGAAUUCGAUUUUGCUGCUUCGGUAUUGGUUUUUCAGAUCAUCCUUAAAUUAAAUCGGUGUUUUCCUUUUUUAAAUCUUUUUUUAGAUUUUUUCCAGACAUCUCACAAACCGGUCUUAAUUAGAUUUUUAAACCGAGAUCGGUUAUGAUUGAUUGAUUUUGACUUUGAUUUGUGUGUAUGUGUGAGCAGCUGGAACAGAUAACUCAGACCAAGCAAGAGACUUUUCAUUGGCAUUGAAAGACAGAUUUUACUUGCAGCCAUUGUCACCAACAGAAGCUGCAGCGAGGGCCAAAGAAUCUGCUAAAGAGAUCAUUAACGUUAAGUCAUUAAUCGACAAAAAAGCUUGGCCUUACGUUCAGAACGAUCUCCGUUUAAGAGCAUCUUACCUCCGUUACGAUCUUAACACCGUUAUCUCUGCUAAGCCUAAGGAAGAGAAACAGAGUCUCAAAGAACUCACCGGCAAGCUCUUCCAAACCAUCGACAACGUAAGUUUUCUUGUUUUUAGGGUUUUGUUUUCUACCACUUUAAUCGACAGCCAUUUUAUGCACAAGAUUCUUUCUAAUGUUUGGAUCGAUCUGAGAUUGUUGUUCUUUUCUUGUGUGGAAGCUGGACUAUGCGGCGAGGUCAAAGAGCAGCCCGGAUGCUGAGAAGUAUUACUCAGAGACUGUCUCGAGUUUGAACAAUGUUCUUGCCAAGAUCGGUUAAAGAAGGAAAGAUUUGUUCUGUAAUGUAUUGUUGUUGAAGCUAUCAUUAUCAUUAUCCAAGUACUCUG